This is a long non-coding RNA of Caretta caretta (loggerhead turtle), 2169 nucleotides long. RefSeq lists it as uncharacterized. NCBI's taxonomy places the organism in Eukaryota, Metazoa, Chordata, Testudines, Cheloniidae. The record is from RefSeq and is a predicted model, not a curated record.
UUGUGCAUAUGCCAAAUACGGGUGCAGUUCUGCUCUCACAAGCUGUGCUGUGACGCAUGGCUGUCUAACAUCAGUAAUCGUACGGAAGCUCAGCAGCUGCCGCACACGCCACGCCUUGCUGCAGCUCAGCUCCUGCCAGUCACAAAACCAUUUUCAUUUCACAACCCUUUCGCAUGAACAUCUGCUAGUGAAUGGACAACCGUGCUGUGGGUCAAUACUUGUCAUCUGCAAGACUGACGACUUUAAUCUAAGUAGGUGUGCUGGGACAUGGGCAGGCAUGACAGGCAGGCUGCCAAUUCUCAUCUCUGCUUUAAUGGUACGUUCACACCACACAGAGCGAGUGGUGAUGCCACCCUCGCUACUCCAGCCACCGUGGAAGUUCAAGUCCCCAGCUGGUGAAGCAGGCAUUCUUAGAGCUGAUGGACUCAUCUCCCCAUACCAUUAGAUUGGAGUCCUCUGUUAAGCUCCUAUUCCAGCAAGUGUUUCUGAAGUCUGUUUCUCACCAUUGAAAAGCAAGUAGCAUCAUAAUGAGUUUGAAGUUAGACUUGCACGUCAAUGCCUGGUUCAGGCUCCUACCAUCCAGUUUGCGUGCAGAUGCCUCCUUCCAUAAGGAAACCGCAGAGACUGGUAAAGAGGAGGAAUCCCAGCACUUGCUGCACCCUCCACCCCUUGCCUCAAGUUACCACUUCCAGAGGAUUUCUGGAUCUUUAGCUUCUCACUUUCAAUAAUUCCCUCCUGUGCACAGGAAGGGACAGCUCGCUAUGCAACUGAUCAGAGAAAGGCUGGCCCAGGAGAAGUUCAGAGAACCUCUGCAAUCUUGGUUACGAUGCAAGUUGAAGUUAUGAAUAUUGGCUCUAUAUGGACUGUAUUUCAAACUUCUGCUCUGCUUCUUGAUGACAUCCCAGACAAGUUGGUGUCAGCUCUGCCUAGCCUGCUUGAUGACCCAUUAAGAGCCAUCAGCUAUACAACUGACCCAUUGAGAGAAGGCAGACACGCCUUAUGACUCAGCAAGGUAUGCAGGGACCUGCCUAUGGACAGAACUCUAAGGUAUUUCUAUGCCAUGUGCUGGAUAGCAUGUCCUUGGGACAAAAGAAAGCAAAGACCACAUGGCAAGAGACUAUAAAGGGCUGAUGCCUCCUCUCCAUCUGGUCUUCAAUCCUGCUUCAUACCUCCGGAGAGACUUUGCUACAAACGGAAGCUCUAAACAAAGGACGGAUGACCCAUCCCAGCUGUCGAUGUACUCCAGGGACUUGAUUUGAACCUGCAGUUUAUUCUGUGACUGCUACAAGCCUGAACCAAGAACUUUGCCAUCACUGGAUGUAAUUGAUUCCAUUUAACCAAAUUCUAGCUCAUCUAUAUAUUUCAUUUUAUGAAAAAGCCUUUAGAUUCUAAAGGAUUGGCAGUGUUAUUUGUGGGUGAAAUCUGAUUUGUAUAAGGACCUGGGUCUGGGGCUUGGUCCUUUGGGACUGAGAGAACUUUUUUCUUUUACUGGGGUAUUGGUUUUCAUAACCAUUCAUCCCCAUAACGAGUGGCACUGGUGGGGAUACUGGGAAACUGAAGUGUUUAAGGGAAUUGCUUGUGUGACUUGUGGUUAGCCAGUGGGGUAAAACCAAAGACCUCUCUGGCUGGUUUGGUUUGCCUUAGAGGUGGAAAAACCCCAGUCUUGGGCGGUAACUGCCCUGCUUUAAGCAAUUUGUCCUGAAUUGGCACUCUCCGGUGGGUCCCGCCAGAACCAGCAUUGUUACAGUGAUAUAAGGAGGUUUUGCUUCACCAAAGAUCAUUAAAGGCACACUUGCCCUCUCUCAAGGUUAGUACAACGUUUGACCCCUCUUAUAACCCCCAAAACUCCUUUAAGUUUGCAAAGCCUAUGUAUUAGGCAUUUAACAACCAUUUUCUUCCCCUAUAAUAAAGAUGUCAGCAUUCACUAGCAGGCCCUAGACAAGCAGAGUGCUGUGGCAGGGAGAGACUAAAUCCUUGGUAUAAAAACCAGGUUCCUGUUUAAGGGUUAUUUAAAGACCACUGGUUAGACAUGUUCUGACCUACCACAAGCUUUUCUCAGAACCCCAAGGGGCUUGGUUACCAUGGUACUGAAUCAUGGUUCUUGCAUCUGAAGUGGUGUUUUACUCACGAAAGCUUAUGCCCAAAUAAACCUGUUAGUCUUUAAGGUGC